Molecule: long non-coding RNA, 862 nt
Organism: Pezoporus flaviventris
Lineage: Eukaryota; Metazoa; Chordata; Aves; Psittaciformes; Psittacidae
Exons: 4
Source: RefSeq, a predicted model, not a curated record
CUAUUUUGUUAAAUGUAUGGCAAGAGAGAAGACUGUAAUGAAUGGUUAGACAGUAAGUUUCUCCUGUGUUACAGGAAUCUCUGCAAUUACGCAAUACAAACCCUCUGCUCUGCAGUACUUGAGGUGGACGGUUGCUGAGCUGAAAUGAUAUUAAAUUUAAGAGAAAGUCAGAUAGCACCAGAUGAAAGUAAAAAGGCAUUUUGAAAGAUGUAAUAAAAUCCUCAGCCUUGGACAGUUAUGGAAAGAGAGACAGCACAUCACUCUCUAUUCAGGGAUCAUCUGACUACCAACAAGAAUCCAAGCCAUCAACAUAUUAUUUUACUCCUCAUGUUAACACAGAGUGAGGAUUUCAUCUACAAAAGAUGCCUAAAACAUAAGGAGAGUGAAGGACAAGUAGAGAGCAAGCAUUCAGUCUUACUGACCUCUGGCUCACUGAAAACCAGAACAUUUUCCCAAAUGCCACAUAAUUAUUAAUUCAUAGGAAGUUUCACAAGCUUGUGAUCUGAUCCAUAGACAACAAAAAUUGCUGUUUUGCAAAGAUUUUUCCAUUGAUUUUGGCCCUGGACCAUGCACUGAAGAUCUGGCAUCUGGAAUAGAUCUCCUUGCUUGAGAAAAGAUUUAAAGUGCACAGCUGAAGUUUCUGAUGUGAAGCAAGGAAAAGAAAUAUUGUUCUCCCAGUUAGUGCUGCCUAAGCUAUGUCCUGAGGAAAUGAGUAGCACCACAUGUUGCAAGUCACACAGUAACAGAGAAACAGCAGCAGCGCACUUCUGUGCACACAGCCAACAACCCUCCGAGUGCAGGACACAGUAUAAAUGUCUCAAAUAUAUUUUCUCUGCUUCAGCCCCUUUCCUUCUGUUCCCUC